This 922-nucleotide ribosomal RNA is filed under the name uncultured archaeon. Its description in RNAcentral is "bacterial SSU rRNA". It matches the Rfam family "Archaeal small subunit ribosomal RNA", at positions 1 to 924 of the family's 1478-position model. The record is from RNAcentral.
UUUCCGGUUGAUCCUGCCAGAGGUUACUGCUAUCGAGAUUCGAUUAAGCCAUGCGAGUUGAAUGUUCUUCGUGAACAUGGCGGACUGCUCAGUAACACGUGGACAACCUACCCUUGGAUCUGGGAUAAACCCGGGAAACUGGGCAUAAUACCGGAUAAGCCACAUAUGCUGGAAUGCUUUGUGGCUCAAAGCUCCGGCGUCCAAGGAUGGGUCUGCGGCCUAUCAGGGUAGUAGUGGGUGUAAUGUACCUACUAGCCUACGACGGGUACGGGUUGUGAGAGCAAGAGCCCGGAGAUGGAUUCUGAGACACGAAUCCAGGCCCUACGGGGUGCAGCAGGCGCGAAAACUUUACAAUGCGGGAAACCGCGAUAAGGGAAUCUCGAGUGCCAGCAUAUAAUGUUGGCUGUCCAGAUGCCUAAAAAGCAUUUGUUAGCAAGGGCCGGGCAAGACCGGUGCCAGCCGCCGCGGUAACACCGGCGGCCCGAGUGGUAACCGUUAUUAUUGGGUCUAAAGGGUCUGUAGUCGGCCGAAUAAGUCUCUUGGGAAACCUGGCAGCUUAACUGUCAGGCAGUCAGGGGAUACUGUUCGGCUUGGGACCGGGAGAGGUGAGAGGUACCUCGGGGGUAGGGGUGAAAUCUUGUGAUCCUCGAGGGACCACCAGUGGCGAAGGCGUCUCACCAGAACGGGUCCGACGGUAAGGGACGAAAGCUAGGGGCACGAACCGGAUUAGAUACCCGGGUAGUCCUAGCCGUAAACGAUGCUUGCUAGGUGUCAGCCACGGUGCGACCGUGGUUGGUGCCGUAGGGAAGCCGUGAAGCGAGCCACCUGGGAAGUACGGCCGCAAGGCUGAAACUUAAAGGAAUUGGCGGGGGAGCACUACAACGGGUGGAGCCUGCGGUUUAAUUGGAUUCAACGCCGGAAA